This 58-nucleotide transfer RNA is filed under the name Fragaria nilgerrensis. Its description in RNAcentral is "tRNA-Ser". It matches the Rfam family "tRNA". From Rfam's summary of the family: Transfer RNA (tRNA) molecules are approximately 80 nucleotides in length. Their secondary structure includes four short double-helical elements and three loops (D, anti-codon, and T loops). The record is from RNAcentral. Lineage: Eukaryota; Viridiplantae; Streptophyta; Magnoliopsida; Rosales; Rosaceae.
CAAGGUGUAGCGCAGUCUGGUCAGCGCAUCUGUUUAGGUUCGAAUCCUUUCGCCUUGG